AUGCCACGCCGUGAGCAACCUUCACGUGCUUCUGUUAAUCUCUCUUCAUCGAUUUCUCAAUCCGGCGAUAAGAACACCAUCAUCCGCCAAGAAGAGCGUGUUUUUGAUCUGCUUCAGUCGCGACUUCAUCGUCUUCUUCGCGUCUUGUCACUCAUGGAUCUAGUCUCGAUUCUCGGAUUCCGAUCCAAUUGCGGGCCUCACCAUCUCCGACCUGAUCCCCUGAUUUGCUUCACGCACAAUGCUAUAGCUCUAAUUCCGCCAAUAACUCGUAUUUAA
This is a non-coding RNA of Vicia faba (fava bean), 276 nucleotides long. NCBI's taxonomy places the organism in Eukaryota, Viridiplantae, Streptophyta, Magnoliopsida, Fabales, Fabaceae. The record is from the annotation of a GenBank genome assembly.